RNAcentral lists this ribosomal RNA (300 nucleotides) under uncultured Facklamia sp. RNAcentral describes it as "bacterial SSU rRNA". It matches the Rfam family "Bacterial small subunit ribosomal RNA", at positions 496 to 795 of the family's 1533-position model. The record is from RNAcentral. Lineage: Bacteria; Bacillati; Bacillota; Bacilli; Lactobacillales; Aerococcaceae.
GCUAACUACGUGCCAGCAGCCGCGGUAAUACGUAGGUCACAAGCGUUGUCCGGAUUUAUUGGGCGUAAAGGGAGCGCAGGCGGUUUGUUAAGUCUGAUGUGAAAGCCCACGGCUCAACCGUGGAACGGCAUUGGAAACUGGCAAACUUGAGUGCAGAAGAGGAAAGUGGAAUUCCAUGUGUAGCGGUGAAAUGCGUAGAUAUAUGGAGGAACACCAGUGGCGAAGGCGACUUUCUGGUCUGUAACUGACGCUGAGGCUCGAAAGCGUGGGGAGCGAACAGGAUUAGAUACCCUUGUAGUC